ACGCUCGACACCUACGGAGGCAGCAGUGGGGAAUAUUGCACAAUGGGGGGAACCCUGAUGCAGCGACGCCGCGUGAGGGAAGAAGGUUUUCGGAUUGUAAACCUCUGUCCUUGGUGACGAUAAUGACGGUAGCCAAGGAGGAAGCCACGGCUAACUACGUGCCAACAGCCGCGGUAAUCUGAGCGGGCUGGCAAGGC
Molecule: ribosomal RNA, 197 nt
Filed under: uncultured bacterium
Lineage: Bacteria
Description: partial 16S ribosomal RNA
Rfam family: Bacterial small subunit ribosomal RNA
Source: RNAcentral